This 549-nucleotide ribosomal RNA is filed under the name Fusarium oxysporum. RNAcentral describes it as "eukaryotic LSU rRNA". The stretch from base 207 to 360 matches the Rfam family "5.8S ribosomal RNA". The record is from RNAcentral. Lineage: Eukaryota; Fungi; Ascomycota; Sordariomycetes; Hypocreales; Nectriaceae.
UGGAAGUAAAAGUCGUAACAAGGUCUCCGUUGGUGAACCAGCGGAGGGAUCAUUACCGAGUUAUACAACUCAUCAACCCUGUGAACAUACCUAUAACGUUGCCUCGGCGGGAACAGACGGCCCCGUAACACGGGCCGCCCCCGCCAGAGGACCCCCUAACUCUGUUUCUAUAAUGUUUCUUCUGAGUAAACAAGCAAAUAAAUUAAAACUUUCAACAACGGAUCUCUUGGCUCUGGCAUCGAUGAAGAACGCAGCGAAAUGCGAUAAGUAAUGUGAAUUGCAGAAUUCAGUGAAUCAUCGAAUCUUUGAACGCACAUUGCGCCCGCCAGUAUUCUGGCGGGCAUGCCUGUUCGAGCGUCAUUACAACCCUCAGGCCCCCGGGCCUGGCGUUGGGGAUCGGCGGAAGCCCCCUGCGGGCACAACGCCGUCCCCCAAAUACAGUGGCGGUCCCGCCGCAGCUUCCAUUGCGUAGUAGCUAACACCUCGCAACUGGAGAGCGGCGCGGCCACGCCGUAAAACACCCAACUUCUGAAUGUUGACCUCGAAUCA